This 69-nucleotide transfer RNA is filed under the name Calineuria stigmatica. RNAcentral describes it as "tRNA-Gln". It matches the Rfam family "tRNA". Rfam says of the family: Transfer RNA (tRNA) molecules are approximately 80 nucleotides in length. Their secondary structure includes four short double-helical elements and three loops (D, anti-codon, and T loops). Lineage: Eukaryota; Metazoa; Arthropoda; Insecta; Plecoptera; Perlidae. The record is from RNAcentral.
UAUGCUCUAGUGUAGGGUGCACAAAAGUUUUUGAUACUUUAGGAGAUAGUUCAAGUCUAUUGGGCAUAA